CGUAGCGAAAGCUACGCUAAUACCGCAUACGAUCUAUGGAUGAAAGCGGGGGAUCGCAAGACCUCGCGCGAUUGGAGCGGCGAUAUCAGAUUAGGUAGUUGGUGAGGUAAAGGCUCACCAAGCCGACGAUCUGUAGCUGGGUCUGAGAGGACGACCAGCCACACUGGGACUGAGACACGGCCCAGACUCCUACGGGAGGCAGCAGUGGGGAAUUUUGGACAAUGGGCGCAAGCCUGAUCCAGCAAUGCCGCGUGCAGGAUGAAGGCCUUCGGGUUGUAAACUGCUUUUGUACGGAACGAAACGGUGAGCUCUAAUACAGUUUGCUAAUGACGGUACCGUAAGAAUAAGCACCGGCUAACUACGUG
This 365-nucleotide ribosomal RNA is filed under the name uncultured bacterium. Its description in RNAcentral is "bacterial SSU rRNA". It matches the Rfam family "Bacterial small subunit ribosomal RNA", at positions 147 to 507 of the family's 1533-position model. The record is from RNAcentral.